GAGAAACUAUCAAUUAUGCAAUUAGUCCUUGUAUGCAGGACUCUUUUGUCCGACAUUCUAAAAAUACCUCACAUAUUCCAAUUUGACUAAAGGGAGAAGGAUUUUGUGAAACAGUCACCAACAAUGUAUCAUCCCACUGAUGUGGGGCCUCUUGCCAGUCACUCAUGGAAGACAGUAACUUGGUGCAGUGGAAAGCACGUGACUUUAGAGUCAAACAGAAUUGGGUUCUGCUAUGUUCUUGCUGAGAGACUUUGGGAAAGUUACACAACCUCUCUGAGUCCUGAUUUCCUCAACUGGUAAAUAGGGAUAAUAAUAAUGUCUAUGUCACAAGUUUGUUUUGAGGUCUAAAUUUGUUAUGCAAUGUAUAUAAAGCCUUAAAAAGUAUGAUAUUCAUUGAGUAUGUAUUAUGUGGCAUGCCAUGUUUAAGUGCUUUAUAAGCAUAGUAUGGACUCAUUUAGCCCCAUGAGUUAUAACUUUCAUUGUCUGUGCUUUAUAUAUGCAAAACUGAGACUUGAGAAGUUUGAGUAACCUGCCCAAAGUCCCAGAGCUGAUAAAUUGCAGACCUAGGAUUUGGACCCAGGCAGUCAGGUUCCAGCUCACGUGUACUUAACUACCAAGCCAUGAUGCCAUAUGGAGUAGGGCUGAAUAAAGAACAGCUAUUAUGACCAUAGUAAUUUAGUAUUAAGUGCUUUUUAUAUCUAUGGUGCUAAGUGUUAAUUAUUAGCAUAUUUGGAUGCAACAUCUAUCCUUUUUGUUCCUAUUUUUUCCACAGCCAUGGCAACAAAGAGCCUUGUGCUCACUACAGCAGAGCAUUCUGCCUUUGUCCGAUCCAGUCCGGUGCGUCAGUCUCUGCAAACAACAAAAGAUGUGGCCACUGACCGCCUGCCCCUGCCCCCAUCAGAGAACCAAGGGAAGCUGAGGCCUCUAUGACUGGAAGCAAGCUAGGAGAGCAGCAGACAGGUGAGUUCAUCCAUGCUUUUGGCUUCAAUUCUCAUCUCCUGGAGGAAGACUUCUAGGGAAGGCAUUAUGGUUGACUUCCUAACUUCAGUUCCACCCCAGAUGAUUACUAUACAGCCAAGAUGAUGCUGCAAGAUUAGGGCAGGAUAGAAACUAGAGGAGCCCAGCUCUUCUCCUGAGACCUUCUCUUCAGAAGUGACAGACCUGCCACCUUUAUCUGUGAGAAAAACAGAUGACUCUGGUUCAAUCACUCCUUCCUGAGACUUGGAGUAAAAUUCAUCUGAGGUGAAUUCACCUAAGGUGUAAAGAUAGACAAAGGAUCCAUGGAACAGAAGAAAGAGACCAAAAAUAGAAUCCUGCAAAUAUGGAAUGUGAUAAAUGUUGAAGAUAAAAUUGCAUGCCAAUGGAGGAGGAAUAGGUCUUACUCCCAAUAAACCUUUUGCCUUCCUGACUCCAUCUCAGCAUUCCUUCCCGGAAGAUUCAACUGCCACACUUGUCUUGGUAUGGCUGGAAGAAAGAGACUGAAGGAGAGAGGCCUAAAACCAGGCUGUAGAGGUAAGCAAAGCCAGAACACACAGGACUUGUUAGACCAUGCUAAGUAUUUUUUACUUUGCCAUUAGGGCAGUUGGAAGUCACUGCAUGUUUUUAAACAGACUGGGGAGGAGUGGGAAAAAUGAUCAAAUGUAAAUUUGAAAAAUUUGAAAAAUGAUCUAAAUGUAAAUUUAGAAAGACCACUCCAGCUGUUAUAUGUUAAAAAGGCUGGAGACUUGGGAGACUGAGGACAAGAAGAUCAAUAUGCAUGCUAUAACUGGAGUCUAAAAAGAGAAAAUAGUGGCUUGGACUAGGAUGAACCAGAGACAGUGAAGGUUUGAAAGAUAUUUAAAAAGUAGAAUCUCCAAAAUUUGGUGAUUUAUUGGAUGUGGGUGGUGUGGGAAAUGUAAAAGUCAAGGAUGCCCAGAUCUCUGGCUUGAGCUACUGUGUGGAAAGUGGUGCCAGAUGCUGAUACAGGGAAUCCUGUGGGAAACAAAUGUGAGAGUUCAACUUUGGACAUGCAGAGUUGGAGAUGCCCCUAGGAUAUCCAAGAGCACUAUAAAGAGUUGGAUAUAUUGUUCUGGAGUGUGAACAGAAAUUUAGGCUGGAGAAGUACAUUUGGGAGUCCUUAGCAUACAGAUGGAAGCAAAUGAGAUCAUCCAGGAGAGGUACAAUGUUUUGAGAGAGACGUAAGAGAUUGACCUAGGAAACUCAGACAUAUAAGGUUCUGGAAAGGGACAAGAGGUUAACAAAUGAGACUUAGGCCAGGGAAUAUGGAGUCACAGAAACUUUGAGAGGGUUUUUGAUAAGGAGGAGAUAUAAAUAUUACCUAGUGUCUAAGCAAGGUAAGGACUGAAACUAUUCUUUUGCCUUAGUGACAUGGAGGCCAUUGGUGAACUUAAUAAGAGAC
This is a long non-coding RNA of Acinonyx jubatus (cheetah), 2398 nucleotides long. RefSeq lists it as uncharacterized. The record is from RefSeq and is a predicted model, not a curated record. The transcript has 5 exons. NCBI's taxonomy places the organism in Eukaryota, Metazoa, Chordata, Mammalia, Carnivora, Felidae.